This 916-nucleotide long non-coding RNA is filed under the name Marmota monax (woodchuck). Lineage: Eukaryota; Metazoa; Chordata; Mammalia; Rodentia; Sciuridae. The record is from RNAcentral.
AGAAGAUCCUAUGAUUGCUGAGCCAGAGAUCCUGUGAAGGCACCUCCUGGAACCCUCGCCGUUCUGCUGGCUCGGUGUCCGGUAAAGUGAAGCCUACGUGUUUGGAAAUAUUGACCCACAGCGCUCAGCUCCUAAUCCCCAGCAGGCGGAGCAGUGGACUUCCAUUCUUUUAGUCAUAGGCCAACCGGUCUGGAGACCUUAGUGGCUGCAUUGCAAUGGAGUGGCUGAGAGAAAACCUUUGAAAAUAACUCCUACUUUCUUAAGAUGCCUGAAGGUGACAGCUCUGCACCUGUCAUGGAGGGUGAAUUCAUCCCCAGGCAGUACUUGAACUUCACGAGUUUCACAUCGUGCAGUAACCUUAGCAAUUUUCUUCUGGGUGUGUCUUUUUGAAUUAGUCAUCCAGAAAAAUAGUGAAAAAUUCUGAGAAUCCUGUUCUGAGCGUGCUUUUAAUUUUUUAAUCUUUGAAUUGUUAAUAUGGUUCUGACAAAUAAUUUUUUUUUUUUUUUUUUAGAAAAGAGAUCAAGACUAGAAACCUGGCAUAGGUAACACAUAUAUACAGAUGCAUUCUAAGAAUCUGAAACUCCUGCUGACGCUUGCCUGAAGUUCCAGCUACUCAGGAGGCUGGGACAGGAGGAUCACUUGAGUCCCAGAGUGCCAGGUGUGCCUGAGCAACGUAGAAUGACCCCAUCUCAAACAACAACGAAACACUUAAGAUCUGUUUCAUGAUAUUUGUGAGAUAUAUCUUUGCCCUCAAACCUAUUUAAACCCACCUUAGCGUGUGUUUGAUUUUUAUUUACCAUGACUAAUAAGGACAUUUAUGCAGUAAUAAUGAAACAUAAUAAAACAUGGGUGUGGUACUGGGCCUGUCAUUAAACUGGCUGAACCUGUCAUUAAAUCCACUUUUGAAGAUUUAAAG